CCUACGGGAGGCAGCAGUGAGGAAUAUUGGUCAAUGGGCGGAAGCCUGAACCAGCAAAGCAGCGUGCAGGAUGACGGCCCUACGGGUUGUAAACUGCUUUUAUACGGGAAUAACGCGCCUUACGUGUAGGGCUUUGCAUGUAUCGUAUGAUUCCGGACCGGCUAAUUCCGUGCCAGCAGCGGCGGUAAUACGGAAGGUCCGGGCGUUAUCCGGAUUUAUUGGGUUUAAAGGGAGCGUAGGCUGCAGGGCAAGCGUGCUGGGAAAGGUCCGGGCUCAACCCGGGCCUUGCAGCGCGAACUGGCGUGCUUGAGGCCACGGGAGGCAGGCGGAAUUCGUCGUGUAGCGGUGAAAUGCUUAGAUAUGACGAAGAACCCCAGUUGCGAAGGCAGCUUGCUGCAGCGUAACUGACGCUGAUGCUCGAAAGCGCGGGUAUCGAACAGGAUUAGAUACCCGAGUAGUC
This 460-nucleotide ribosomal RNA is filed under the name uncultured bacterium. Its description in RNAcentral is "partial 16S ribosomal RNA". It matches the Rfam family "Bacterial small subunit ribosomal RNA", at positions 338 to 795 of the family's 1533-position model. The record is from RNAcentral.